UUCCUCUUCCUCUUCCUCUUCCUCUUCCUCUUCCUCGCUUGUUAUGGCUUAGUGGGCCCUUUCAAUCUAGAGACGCAUAUCCUUCAGUUUUUCAGAUAUUUCUGUUAUCUCUUUGAUAAUUUCCUACCCUUUAUUUUUUUUUGUGUGUUCCUUCUUUCUAAAAUUUCUAUUGGUUUUCAAUCCUGAGAUUGAUCUUCUGAUCUCCCUAAUUUAUUUUG
RNAcentral lists this microRNA precursor (218 nucleotides) under Dasypus novemcinctus (nine-banded armadillo). RNAcentral's name for it is "miRNA (ENSDNOG00000041676.1)". Lineage: Eukaryota; Metazoa; Chordata; Mammalia; Cingulata; Dasypodidae. The record is from RNAcentral.